UUCAGCUAUAAAACAUUUAUAAUUUUUAUUUUUUCUUUUCACAGAAACCCCAAGAGAAUAAACAUGGAAUAGUCAAUUACUUAUUCAUUCAACACUAUGAUUGGCCACCUACUGUGUGCCGGGUGCCAUAGCAACACAGUGACAGGGAUUAAGGCAAUACAAUUGGGAGGGCUAUCCUGGGAGGAGGGCAGCCUGCCAGAAGAGCCAGAGGUCAGGACUGUGCCAAGUGGGGGUGAGGAUGACUGGGGAGAGGACAUCCCUCAGAGGGGUGGCUUGGAGCUGGAGGUAAAAGAAUGAGUAGGGGUAGACAGCACCCAGUCCUCAUCUGCUCAGCUGCAGAAGCCCCCUUGUGUUUGAAGAAACAUCUCUGCUGGUGGGAACUGGUUUAGGAAUUACUGCAGUACCCCCUUAUCUGAAGUUUCACUUUUUGCAGUAUCCCCCAGUCAACCAUAGCUUAAAAAAUAUAAGAUGGAAAACUCCAGAAAUAAGUAACUCAUAAGGUUUAAUUUCAUGCCACCCAGAGUAGUGUGAUGAAACCUUGUGCUAUCCCACUGUGUCCCACCCAGGAUGUGUGCCCUUUGUCCAGUGUAUCCACGAUGUAUAUGCUACCUUCCUGUUACCCAGAGAUCACUUGGUAGCUGGCUUGAUCACCUGAUGUAAUGCUGUGGAUCACAGUGCUUAUAUAGGGUUUGGUACUGUCCAUGGUUUCAGGGACUCACGGGGUGUCUUGAGACCCAAUCCCCUGCAGAUAAAGGAGUACUGUACCAAACAACAGGUCUUUCUGGCCUUCAGCUCUCUUGCUUAGGACAAAUUCAUUAACACACCCAGAGAGCCUGGGGUACCAUUAGCCCCCAGCUGAGUUUGGUGGGAACCCCCAAACCUAGACUCCAGUUUGGCUUGAGGCCUGUCUGCAUCAGAAGAGCUCAUUUCUGAUGGGGGUCUGUCUGGGGUGGGCUCCAUAGUAGAGUGUUGAGAACAAAUUGAAAACCAGAUCACCUGAUUCUGAAUUUGAAUUUGAAUGUGAGUGACCCUUUGGUAGAAGUUGUAAAGCCACCAAAGUCAGGGGUGACACUGUGCUGUGCUGGGGAAGAGGUGGGAAGCAGUG
Molecule: long non-coding RNA, 1105 nt
Filed under: Heterocephalus glaber (naked mole-rat)
Lineage: Eukaryota; Metazoa; Chordata; Mammalia; Rodentia; Bathyergidae
Description: lncRNA (ENSHGLG00100042162.1)
Source: RNAcentral